This is a long non-coding RNA of Phacochoerus africanus (Common warthog), 581 nucleotides long. RefSeq lists it as uncharacterized. The transcript is spliced from 3 exons. The record is from RefSeq and is a predicted model, not a curated record. NCBI's taxonomy places the organism in Eukaryota, Metazoa, Chordata, Mammalia, Artiodactyla, Suidae.
GGGCGGACCUCCCGUGCCGCCAGCUCUGGGCUCGGAGCUGCGAGCAGCCCGGCGAGUGAAGAGGUUGGCUUCAUUGGCAGCAGAAGUUAAGCUCUGACAUUCCAUGGCUCCAUCAUGCUCCAUCUAUUAGAGAGAAGAGUGAAGCUCCCAGGAAUCCAGCAAGGUCCCUGGACCCAGCUCUGGCCCUCAGUCUGCCACUGUGACACGUGGGAGUUCAGGCCCAGGCAGUGUUCUGAGCAAUAGAGAAGGCAGCGUGGGAUGUACCAAGAUACCUAGGCAUGAGACUGGAAUCAGGAUCCUUCCGGCUCCCUCACUUCAGGCUGCUAUCUAUGUCCACAGCUCGAGCUCAAGGUUGGCAUCUGUUUUCUGCCUGCUUCCCCUCACCCCUGGCCCAGGCAGAUUCCUGCUGGAAGAGGCUGUCACUGCCACUCUGCUCGUUAUGACGUGUGCCUCUCCAAGUUGCCUAUGGCUGGGCACAGUGCCCAGAAUGAUGCAUCCAAGGCCUGGCCCAGCCGGAGAGGGGUUCUUGUUAUUUCUAGGGUAGCCUUCUGUUCUUCAAAGAGGAGGGUCCCCCCCACAAG